AACGAACGCUGGCGGCAUGCCUAAUACAUGCAAGUCGAACGGAAUGGGGCAACCCAUUUAGUGGCGGACGGGUGAGUAACGCGUGGGAACCUGCCCAUCGGUACGGAAUAACCUCGGGAAAAUGAGGCUAAUACCGUAUGCGCCCCCCAGGGUCACUUGGGGGGGAAAGAUUUAUCGCCGGUGGAGGGGCCCGCGUCGGAUUAGUUAGUUGGUGCGGUAACGGCUCACCAAGCCUGCGAUCCGUAGCUGGUCUGAGAGGAUGAUCAGCCACACUGGGACUGAGACACGGCCCAGACUCCUACGGGAGGCAGCAGUAGGGAAUAUUGGACAAUGGGGGCAACCCUGAUCCAGCAAUGCCGCGUGAGUGAUGAAGGCCUUAGGGUUGUAAAGCUCUUUUGGCAGGGACGAUGAUGACGGUACCUGCAGAGUAAGCCCCGGCUAACUUCGUGCCAGCAGCCGCCGUAA
This 465-nucleotide ribosomal RNA is filed under the name uncultured bacterium. RNAcentral describes it as "partial 16S ribosomal RNA". It matches the Rfam family "Bacterial small subunit ribosomal RNA", at positions 29 to 523 of the family's 1533-position model. The record is from RNAcentral.